RNAcentral lists this non-coding RNA (194 nucleotides) under Clostridiales bacterium. Its description in RNAcentral is "6S RNA". It matches the Rfam family "6S / SsrS RNA". From Rfam's summary of the family: E. coli 6S RNA was the first non coding RNA to be sequenced, but its function was unknown until recently. It consists of 184 nucleotides that fold into an extended hairpin structure with a large single-stranded internal bulge. Lineage: Bacteria; Bacillati; Bacillota; Clostridia; Eubacteriales. The record is from RNAcentral.
GGCUUCCUGGGGUGUUCGACAAGAACCUAUAUUUUGAACCUACAUCAUAUUUAAGGGAUUCCGAGUCAGAUGUUUUUAAAUCGGGCCGCAAGCUAAUUCCGGCAUCCCCGGCAGCGGAAGAUUGAUAAUACACACAGGAUACCCACCUAGCGCGGCUAGGUGUCAAAAUAUCGGGGCGGCACUUCGGGGCCUAU